Pelobates cultripes (western spadefoot toad) is the source of this 472-nucleotide non-coding RNA. Lineage: Eukaryota; Metazoa; Chordata; Amphibia; Anura; Pelobatidae. The record is from the annotation of a GenBank genome assembly.
CCUCACACUGCCUGCUGAAUGACAUCACCAAACAGGACGCUAUGCGGUCUCCAUGGUAACCCGCUGACGGACAGGUACAGCAGGGUGUGAGGAGCCCCCAGCAUGCCCCGCGGCCCGACCACUCCAAGCCGGACCAUAACAACACAGCAACCCCGGCCGCAGGCCCUCCUCACCUGCACCUCGCCGCCGCCGCUCCCUCCUGCGCCCAGGCAGCAGCACUCACAGCAGAUGGAGCCGGGGGAGGGUCUGUCCGGGUUUCCUUAUCAUGACACAGGGCGGGGCCUCGCCAGCUCCGAGCUCCUAGGCUGCACACUGACACACUGCGCGAUAUCGCUGCGGGGCGUCACCGUGCGGCUGCUGUCUGCGAGAUACAUACUGUGAACAGGCUUCCUAAUGGGCGUGGCUAUGGGCGGGGCUGAGUGAGCGGUGAGCGCUCUCAUGGUCCAUUGAGGGGGCGUGGCUGAGUGAGCGG